UACGUAGGCAGCAAGCGUUGUUCGGAGUUACUGGGCGUAAAGAGUGCGUAGGUGGUGCCCCAAGUCUGUUGUGAAAUCUCCCGGCUUAACUGGGAGGGUGCGGUGGAAACUGGGGUGCUUGAGUGUGGGAGAGGUAAGCGGAAUUCCUGGUGUAGCGGUGAAAUGCGUAGAUAUCAGGAGGAACACCGGUGGUGUAGACGGCUUACUGGACCACGACUGACACUGAGGCACGAAAGCGUGGGUAGCAAACAGG
This 253-nucleotide ribosomal RNA is filed under the name uncultured bacterium. RNAcentral's name for it is "partial 16S ribosomal RNA". It matches the Rfam family "Bacterial small subunit ribosomal RNA", at positions 524 to 776 of the family's 1533-position model. The record is from RNAcentral.